Molecule: small RNA, 913 nt
Filed under: Spiroplasma melliferum KC3
Lineage: Bacteria; Bacillati; Mycoplasmatota; Mollicutes; Entomoplasmatales; Spiroplasmataceae
Description: bacterial LSU rRNA
Rfam family: Bacterial large subunit ribosomal RNA (bases 417-913)
Source: RNAcentral
CGCCCGUCACACCAUGAGAGUUGAUAAUACCAGAAGUCGGUAUUCUAACCGCAAGGAGGAAGCCGCCCAAGGUAGGAUUGAUGAUUAGGGUGAAGUCGUAACAAGGUAUCCGUACGAGAACGUGCGGAUGGAUCACCUCCUUUCUAUGGAGUUAAUACUUUAUAGUAAUUAACUAGUUUUAAUGACCGUUAUGUUUAGUUUUCAGAGAUUAGUUUCUCUGACAAUAACAAGUAAAUGUUAUUGGAAUUGUUCUUUGAAAACUGGAUAAUAGACAUCUAGUUAUUUUAAUCACAUGAUUAAAAUAACAAUAAUUCAAAAUUUCUGUUAUUUUUAAAAAAUAACUAAAAUUUCACAGUUAUAUUUGUAAAUGAUUCUCAAAAAACUGAUUUAAAAUCAGGUCAAAUAAUUUAUAAAACUUUGAAGUUACAAAGGGCGUAUGGUGAAUGCCUUGGGAAUAGGAGACGAUGAAGGACGUGACUACCUGCGAUAAGGUUCGGGGAGCUGGAAGUAAGCUUUGAUCCGGACAUGUCCGAAUGGGGAAACCCGGUGAGAUUAAUCUCUCAUCAUCCUAUAAUGAAUAAAUAGUUAUAGUGAAGGUAUACCUAGGGAAUUGAAACAUCUUAGUACCUAGAGGAAAAGAAAGCGAAUGCGAUUCUCUUAGUAGCGGCGAGCGAACGGGGAACAGCCCAAACCAGAUUUAUCUGGGGUUGUAGGACCAUAAUAGUAGAGUUACAAAACUUGUUUAUAGUAGAAAUGGUUGGGAAACCAUGCCGUAGAGGGUGAUAGCCCCGUAUACGAAAUAGACAAGACUCGAAAUGGAAUCCUGAGUACGGCGAGACACGUGAAAUCUUGUCGGAAUCAACGCGGGCCACCGCGUAAGGCUAAAUACUACCUAUUCACCGAUAGUGAACCA